GAAGGGGGGGCAAGUGUUCUUCGGAAUGACUAGGCAUAAAGGGCACGUAGGCGGUGAAUCGGGUUGAAAGUGAAAGUUGCCAAAAAAGUGGCGGAAUGCUCUCAAAACCAAUUCACUUGAGUGAGACAGAGGAGAGUGGAAUUUCAUGUGUAGGGGUGAAAUCCGUAGAUCUAUGAAGGAACGCCAAAAGCGAAGGCAGCUCUCUGGGUCCCUACCGACACUGGGGUGCGAAAGCAUGGGGAGCGAACAGG
Molecule: ribosomal RNA, 251 nt
Filed under: uncultured bacterium
Lineage: Bacteria
Description: partial 16S ribosomal RNA
Rfam family: Bacterial small subunit ribosomal RNA
Source: RNAcentral